Molecule: ribosomal RNA, 455 nt
Filed under: uncultured bacterium
Lineage: Bacteria
Description: bacterial SSU rRNA
Rfam family: Bacterial small subunit ribosomal RNA
Source: RNAcentral
UACGGGAGGCAGCAGUGGGGAAUAUUGCACAAUGGGCGAAAGCCUGAUGCAGCUAUGCCGCGUGUAUGAAGAAGGCCUUAGGGUUGUAAAGUACUUUCAUCGGGGAGGAAAAAACAAAACUAAUAAUUUUAUUUCUUGACGUUACCCGAAAAAGAAGCACCGGCUAACUCCGUGCCAGCAGCCGCGGUAAUACGGAGGGUGCUAGCGUUAAUCAGAAUUACUGGGCGUAAAGAGCACGUAGGUGGUUUUUUUAAAGUCAGAUGUGAAAUCCCUGGGCUUAACCUGGAACUGCAUUUUGAAACUGAAAUACUAGAGUAUCGUAGAGGGAGGUAGAAUUCUAGGUGUAGCGGUGAAAUGCGUAGAUAUCUGGAGGAAUACCUGUGGCGAAAGCGGCCUCCUAAACGAAUACUGACACUGAGGUGCGAAAGCUGGGGAGCAAACAGGGAUUAGAUACC